AAAACGACUCUCGGCAACGGAUAUCUAGGCUCUCGCAUCGAUGAAGAACGUAGCAAAAUACGAUACUUGGUGUGAAUUGCAGAAUCCCAUGAACCAUCGAGUUUUUGAACGCAAGUUGCGCCCGAAGCCAUUAGGCCGAGGGCACGUCUGCCUGGGCGUCUC
This 162-nucleotide ribosomal RNA is filed under the name Primula chapaensis. Its description in RNAcentral is "5.8S ribosomal RNA". It matches the Rfam family "5.8S ribosomal RNA". From Rfam's summary of the family: 5.8S ribosomal RNA (5.8S rRNA) is a component of the large subunit of the eukaryotic ribosome. It is transcribed by RNA polymerase I as part of the 45S precursor that also contains 18S and 28S rRNA. The record is from RNAcentral. Lineage: Eukaryota; Viridiplantae; Streptophyta; Magnoliopsida; Ericales; Primulaceae.